UGUCUCAUCUUCAUCUCAACUUUUUAUCUUCCAUAUAUCCGUCUCCUUCUCUUUCUCACUCUCCCAUGAACGUUUUUCUUCUGCUAUGAAUUCUCUAUUUCACAUCAAAGUCAAUUACUACACCUAGCUCUCCGUCUCCCUCGCUUACAUCAAAGCUUGAUGCAGCUGGUAACCGAAGAACACUUGAAACCCUAUAAAUAGGAGAGGGUUGAGACGGAUAUCACAUCUCAUACACGCUCUAUGAGUUUAUCUUCUCUCGAAAAAAUCUAGAACCAUCCUUUGAAAUUGUCUGCCUCCAAUGCAAUUUCUGUUCAACCUGUUAUUCACGAUGCAACGUUUGAUGAUAUCCGCCUUGGUUGGUCUUUUCCGGUAGUUGUUGGCCGGCUCCUUCGUUUUUGGGAUUCAGGAAACAUCAAGAAGAAUGGAGAGCUCAUGAGUAAUACCCUCCUGCUUCUAGAUGAAAAGGUAACCUCUACCUCGACUCGACACCACUACACAUCUUCCGACUCAUAUUUGACAAAAGCUUGGGUGAACGCUUUCCACGUGUUGAGGCAAUUGGAGAGAUUUAAAAGAAAGAACUUGCCUCAAUUGGAAAUCUUGAUACAUACCUCUCCAAGUCAACCGACAAGAAAGAGCUGGCACUUGCAUCAAAGAAAAUCAAAAGGAAGCCGUUGAAUCUUUGGAGGUAACUAAAAACUUCUUUCUCUACCGGUUUAUAAUAAGGAACAUGCUUAUGUAAUGUUUUCAGACAUGAGUGAAAAAGAAGCUAUAGAGAUGAGAGCAACCAUGGGUCUGAAGGGGAAGGAUAGUUUAUGUGUGUACCCUAGGGAAAAACGUGAAGGAAGAAAAACAAAACAUGUUCUCCAUCUCACAGUGGCAGGAGAAAGAAAACAAAUCUCUAGACACUCAUUUGUAGCAAUGAACUCUUAUCAACUAUAUAUUUUAGGCUGCAUGACUCCAAGACUAAGCCCAAAAUUAAGAAACCGAUGACUUUGUUUGGCUGCACUUGAAGCAUGUAUAUAGAAGAAUGCUUCAUAUAAAGGUCUGGUGACUUGAAAUUUUUAAGAAAAGGUGAUGAAACACAAAAAAGCGUUGUAUCAUUUUAAGUUAAAUAUAGCAUAUGAGUAAAUCUCUCGAUUAUGUCCCAUGUUCAAGUUUAGUGGCAGAAAUAAAAGAUACAAGUGACAGAAAGCAAAAAGAACACCUGCUCCAUUCCAUUGCUGUCGAAACCAAGGCCGCUUUCACCCCAAACGUGGAGUUCAGUUAUAAUGUACGAGUUCAUGAUGUAUAAACUAAUCAAGUUUUUGUUCAAAGAGAUAUUUUUAACUGAACAAUGAUAAAGUGAUGAAGCUACUGGUAACUUUUUUGGAGCCCAUGUU
Long non-coding RNA from Raphanus sativus (radish), 1379 nucleotides. RefSeq lists it as uncharacterized. The record is from RefSeq and is a predicted model, not a curated record. NCBI's taxonomy places the organism in Eukaryota, Viridiplantae, Streptophyta, Magnoliopsida, Brassicales, Brassicaceae. The transcript is spliced from 6 exons.